CCCACUAACUAAAUACUUACACUCACACACUCAUCUCUCUCUCUCUCAUUAGAUUCUUGUAACAAUUAAGGUUGUUGGGUUAGAUUAAUGCUAGAAACAUCAUCAUUAGCAUCAUAAAUUCAUCAUAUCAAAAUUUGGUGUUCAAGGUGCUUGAAAAACUCCAUUUGGGAUCAAUUUCGGAUUUUGCUUCUUGGAAGUGAUUUUGCAAAAUACUACUCAAAAUCGAAGGAAAAAUGUGUUAAUGCUCCUGAGCUUACAAGAUUCCUAUCUAAGGUGGUGGAUGAGAAGCGAACAUUGAACGACAUUGACUUGACAUUUCCUCAUAAUUACUUCUCUUUGCCGAUCAAGGUAACCAGGUGAACCAAGGACAUGAUGCAUGACUUCUACUUGCUUUUGACUCGGGCUUGGACUUAAAUGGAUCAAGGAUUCAUUCGCCCACUUUUGCAUUAUGCUUAGGAUCGAUAGCCAUCGUUAGACUAUUAUUUUGUAAACUUUGAUGGUUACUUGCUCCUUGUGCAUUUUGUAUGAAUAUUUGACUUGUUUGUUGGAUUCACCAAAUUCACCUAAUUCAUUUAGUUUGCCUAAAAUAA
This is a long non-coding RNA of Erigeron canadensis, 590 nucleotides long. RefSeq lists it as uncharacterized. Lineage: Eukaryota; Viridiplantae; Streptophyta; Magnoliopsida; Asterales; Asteraceae. The record is from RefSeq and is a predicted model, not a curated record. The transcript has 4 exons.